This 523-nucleotide ribosomal RNA is filed under the name uncultured Acidobacteriota bacterium. RNAcentral's name for it is "bacterial SSU rRNA". It matches the Rfam family "Bacterial small subunit ribosomal RNA", at positions 382 to 896 of the family's 1533-position model. The record is from RNAcentral. Lineage: Bacteria; Pseudomonadati; Acidobacteriota.
CCCGACGACGCAACGCCGCGUGGAGGAUGAAGAUUUUCGGAUCGUAAACUCCUGUCGAAUGGGACGAAUAGAUUGCGGGUUAACAGCCCGCGGUCCUGACGGUACCGUUAAGGAAACCCCGGCUAACUCCGUGCCAGCAGCCGCGGUAAUACGGGGGGGGUAAGCGUUGUUCGGAAUUACUGGGCGUAAAGGGCUCGUAGGCGGCCAACUAAGUCAUGCGUGAAAUCCCUCAGCUUAACUGGGGAACUGCGUGUGAUACUGGAUGGCUUGGAUUCGGGAGAGGGAUGCGGAAUUCCAGGUGUAGCGGUGAAAUGCGUAGAUAUCUGGAGGAACACCGGUGGCGAAGGCGGCAUCCUGGACCGAUAUUGACGCUGAGGAGCGAAAGCCAGGGGAGCAAACGGGAUUAGAUACCCCGGUAGUCCUGGCCCUAAACGAUGAAUGCUUGGUGUAGCGGGUAUCGAUCCCUGCUGUGCCGAAGCUAACGCAUUAAGCAUUCCGCCUGGGGAGUACGGUCGCAAGGCUG